Molecule: transfer RNA, 74 nt
Filed under: Scinax tigrinus
Lineage: Eukaryota; Metazoa; Chordata; Amphibia; Anura; Hylidae
Description: tRNA-Leu
Rfam family: tRNA
About the family: Transfer RNA (tRNA) molecules are approximately 80 nucleotides in length.
Source: RNAcentral
AGUUAAUGUAGCAAAGCCCGGCCUUGCCAAAGAUUUAAGCCCUUUCCACAGAGGUUCAAAUCCUCUCGUUAACU